CGCCAGAGAACUACGAGCAUAACGCUUAAAACUCUAAGGACUUGGCGGUACCUCAAACCCCCCUAGAGGAGCCUGUUCUAUAAUCGAUAAUCCACGAUCUACCUCACCAUCUCUUGCCAAACCAGCUUAUAUACCACCGUCACCAGCCUACCCCAUGAGGCCCACAAAGGUAAGCUAAAUAACCUAAACAAUUAAUAAGUCAGGUCAAGGUGUAGCUAACUGAGAUGGAACAAAUGGGCUACAUUUUCUAUUCUAGAAAUAACCACGGAAGGAGACCAUGAAAUAGGUCCCACAAGCAGGAUUUAGCAGAAACUGGAAA
This 319-nucleotide ribosomal RNA is filed under the name Chelonia mydas (Green sea turtle). RNAcentral describes it as "partial 12S ribosomal RNA". It matches the Rfam family "Bacterial small subunit ribosomal RNA", at positions 870 to 1348 of the family's 1533-position model. Lineage: Eukaryota; Metazoa; Chordata; Testudines; Cheloniidae. The record is from RNAcentral.